UACGAAGGGGGCUAGCGUUGCUCGGAAUGACUGGGCGUAAAGGGCGCGUAGGCGGCUUGGCAAGUCAGGCGUGAAAUUCCUGGGCUCAACCUGGGGGCUGCGCUUGAGACUGCUGGGCUUGAGGAUGGAAGAGGCUCGUGGAAUUCCCAGUGUAGAGGUGAAAUUCGUAGAUAUUGGGAAGAACACCGGUGGCGAAGGCGGUCUGCUGGGCAGUUGCUGACGCUGAUGCGCGACAGCGUGGGGAGCAAACAGG
Molecule: ribosomal RNA, 253 nt
Filed under: uncultured bacterium
Lineage: Bacteria
Description: partial 16S ribosomal RNA
Rfam family: Bacterial small subunit ribosomal RNA
Source: RNAcentral